Molecule: ribosomal RNA, 492 nt
Filed under: uncultured bacterium
Lineage: Bacteria
Description: partial 16S ribosomal RNA
Rfam family: Bacterial small subunit ribosomal RNA
Source: RNAcentral
AGUGAACGCUGGCGGUAGGCCUAACACAUGCAAGUCGAACGGCAGCACAGUAAGAGCUUGCUCUUACGGGUGGCGAGUGGCGGACGGGUGAGGAAUACAUCGGAAUCUACUUUUUCGUGGGGGAUAACGUAGGGAAACUUACGCUAAUACCGCAUACGACCUACGGGCGAAAGCAGGGGAUCUUCGGACCUUACGCGAUUGAAUGAGCCGAUGUCGGAUUAGCUAGUUGGCGGGGUAAAGGCCCACCAAGGCGACGAUCCGUAGCUGGUCUGAGAGGAUGAUCAGCCACACUGGAACUGAGACACGGUCCAGACUCCUACGGGAGGCAGCAGUGGGGAAUAUUGGACAAUGGGCGCAAGCCUGAUCCAGCCAUACCGCGUGGGUGAAGAAGGCCUUCGGGUUGUAAAGCCCUUUUGUUGGGAAAGAAAAGCAGCAGGUUAAUACCCCGCUGUUCUGACGGUACCCAAAGAAUAAGCACCGGCUAACUUCGUG